GGACUGCCUUUUGCAUAAUGAGCCUGCGAGUUGUGGUGUCUGGCAAGGUUAAGCAAACGCGAAGCCGUAGCGAAAGCGAGUCUGAAUAGGGCGCUUAGUCAGAUGCUGCAGACCCGAAACGAAGUGAUCUAUCCAUGAGCAAGUUGAAGCUAGUGUAAGAACUAGUGGAGGACUGAACCCAUAGGCGUUGAAAAGCCCCGGGAUGACUUGUGGAUAGGGGUGAAAGGCCAAUCAAACUUCGUGAUAGCUGGUUCUCUCCGAAAUAUAUUUAGGUAUAGCGUUGUGUCGUAAUAUAAGGGGGUAGAGCACUGAAUGGGCUAGGGCAUACACCAAUGUACCAAACCCUAUCAAACUCCGAAUACCUUAUAUGUAAUCACAGCAGUCAGGCGGCGAGUGAUAAAAUCCGUCGUCAAGAGGGAAACAACCCAGACUACCAGCUAAGGUCCCUAAAUCUUACUUAAGUGGAAAACGAUGUGAAGUUACUUAAACAACCAGGAGGUUGGCUUAGAAGCAGCCAUCCUUUAAAGAAAGCGUAAUAGCUCACUGGUCUAGUGAUUUUGCGCGGAAAAUAUAACGGGGCUAAAGUAAGUACCGAAGCUGUAGACUUAGUUUACUAAGUGGUAGGAGAGCGUUCUAUUUGCGUCGAAGGUAUACCGGUAAGGAGUGCUGGAGCGAAUAGAAGUGAGCAUGCAGGCAUGAGUAGCGAUAAUUAAUGUGAGAAUCAUUAACGCCGUAAACCCAAGGUUUCCUACGCGAUGCUCGUCAUCGUAGGGUUAGUCGGGUCCUAAGUCGAGUCCGAAAGGGGUAGACGAUGGCAAAUUGGUUAAUAUUCCAAUACCAACAUUAGUGUGCGAUGGAAGGACGCUUAGGGCUAAGGGGGCUAGCGGAUGGAAGUGCUAGUCUAAGGUCGUAGGAGGUUAUACAGGCAAAUCCGUAUAACAAUACUCCGAGAACUGAAAGGCUUUUUGAAGUCUUCGGAUGGAUAGAAGAACCCCUGAUGCCGUCGAGCCAAGAAAAGUUUCUAAGUUUAGCUAAUGUUGCCCGUACCGUAAACCGACACAGGUGGGUGGGAUGAGUAUUCUAAGGCGCGUGGAAGAACUCUCUUUAAGGAACUCUGCAAAAUAGCACCGUAUCUUCGGUAUAAGGUGUGGUUAGCCUUGUAUUAGGAUUUACUCCGAAAGCAAGGAAACUUACAACAAAGAGUCCCUCCCGACUGUUUACCAAAAACACAGCACUCUGCUAACUCGUAAGAGGAUGUAUAGGGUGUGACGCCUGCCCGGUGCUCGAAGGUUAAUUGAUGGGGUUAGCAUUAGCGAAGCUCUUGAUCGAAGCCCGAGUAAACGGCGGCCGUAACUAUAACGGUCCUAAGGUAGCGAAAUUCCUUGUCGGUUAAAUACCGACCUGCAUGAAUGGCGUAACGAGAUGGGAGCUGUCUCAAAGAGGGAUCCAGUGAAAUUGUAGUGGAGGUGAAAAUUCCUCCUACCCGCGGCAAGACGGAAAGACCCCGUGGACCUUUACUACAGCUUGACACUGCUACUUGGAUAAGAAUGUGCAGGAUAGGUGGGAGGCUUUGAGUAUAUGACGCCAGUUGUAUAUGAGCCAUUGUUGAGAUACCACUCUUUCUUAUUUGGGUAGCUAACCAGCUUGAGUUAUCCUCAAGUGGGACAAUGUCUGGUGGGUAGUUUGACUGGGGCGGUCGCCUCCCAAAUAAUAACGGAGGCUUACAAAGGUUGGCUCAGAACGGUUGGAAAUCGUUCGUAGAGUAUAAAGGUAUAAGCCAGCUUAACUGCAAGACAUACAAGUCAAGCAGAGACGAAAGUCGGUCUUAGUGAUCCGGUGGUUCUGUGUGGAAGGGCCAUCGCUCAAAGGAUAAAAGGUACCCCGGGGAUAACAGGCUGAUCUCCCCCAAGAGCUCACAUCGACGGGGAGGUUUGGCACCUCGAUGUCGGCUCAUCGCAUCCUGGGGCUGGAGCAGGUCCCAAGGGUAUGGCUGUUCGCCAUUUAAAGCGGUACGCGAGCUGGGUUCAGAACGUCGUGAGACAGUUCGGUCCCUAUCUGCCGUGGGCGUAAGAAGAUUGAAGAGAUUUGACCCUAGUACGAGAGGACCGGGUUGAACAAACCACUGGUGUAGCUGUUGUUCUGCCAAGAGCAUCGCAGCGUAGCUAAGUUUGGAAAGGAUAAACGCUGAAAGCAUCUAAGCGUGAAGCCAACUCUAAGAUGAAUCUUCUCUAAGCUCUCUAGAAGACUACUAGUUUGAUAGGCUGGGUGUGUAAUGGAUGAAAGUCCUUUAGCUGACCAGUACUAAUAGAGCGUUUGGCUUAUCUUUAAUAAAGCAU
Molecule: ribosomal RNA, 2336 nt
Filed under: Campylobacter jejuni
Lineage: Bacteria; Pseudomonadati; Campylobacterota; Epsilonproteobacteria; Campylobacterales; Campylobacteraceae
Description: partial 23S ribosomal RNA
Rfam family: Bacterial large subunit ribosomal RNA
Source: RNAcentral